AAAUUGAAGAGUUUGAUCAUGGCUCAGAUUGAACGCUGGCGGCAGGCCUAACACAUGCAAGUCGAGCGGAAACGAGUUAACUGAACCUUCGGGGGACGUUAACGGCGUCGAGCGGCGGACGGGUGAGUAAUGCCUAGGAAAUUGCCCUGAUGUGGGGGAUAACCAUUGGAAACGAUGGCUAAUACCGCAUGAUGCCUACGGGCCAAAGAGGGGGACCUUCGGGCCUCUCGCGUCAGGAUAUGCCUAGGUGGGAUUAGCUAGUUGGUGAGGUAAGGGCUCACCAAGGCGACGAUCCCUAGCUGGUCUGAGAGGAUGAUCAGCCACACUGGAACUGAGACACGGUCCAGACUCCUACGGGAGGCAGCAGUGGGGAAUAUUGCACAAUGGGCGCAAGCCUGAUGCAGCCAUGCCGCGUGUGUGAAGAAGGCCUUCGGGUUGUAAAGCACUUUCAGUCGUGAGGAAGGUAGUGUAGUUAAUAGCUGCAUUAUUUGACGUUAGCGACAGAAGAAGCACCGGCUAACUCCGUGCCAGCAGCCGCGGUAAUACGGAGGGUGCGAGCGUUAAUCGGAAUUACUGGGCGUAAAGCGCAUGCAGGUGGUUUGUUAAGUCAGAUGUGAAAGCCCGGGGCUCAACCUCGGAAUAGCAUUUGAAACUGGCAGACUAGAGUACUGUAGAGGGGGUAGAAUUUCAGGUGUAGCGGUGAAAUGCGUAGAGAUCUGAAGGAAUACCGGUGGCGAAGGCGGCCCCCUGGACAGAUACUGACACUCAGAUGCGAAAGCGUGGGGAGCAAACAGGAUUAGAUACCCUGGUAGUCCACGCCGUAAACGAUGUCUACUUGGAGGUUGUGGCCUUGAGCCGUGGCUUUCGGAGCUAACGCGUUAAGUAGACCGCCUGGGGAGUACGGUCGCAAGAUUAAAACUCAAAUGAAUUGACGGGGGCCCGCACAAGCGGUGGAGCAUGUGGUUUAAUUCGAUGCAACGCGAAGAACCUUACCUACUCUUGACAUCCAGAGAACUUUCCAGAGAUGGAUUGGUGCCUUCGGGAACUCUGAGACAGGUGCUGCAUGGCUGUCGUCAGCUCGUGUUGUGAAAUGUUGGGUUAAGUCCCGCAACGAGCGCAACCCUUAUCCUUGUUUGCCAGCGAGUAAUGUCGGGAACUCCAGGGAGACUGCCGGUGAUAAACCGGAGGAAGGUGGGGACGACGUCAAGUCAUCAUGGCCCUUACGAGUAGGGCUACACACGUGCUACAAUGGCGCAUACAGAGGGCGGCCAACUUGCGAAAGUGAGCGAAUCCCAAAAAGUGCGUCGUAGUCCGGAUUGGAGUCUGCAACUCGACUCCAUGAAGUCGGAAUCGCUAGUAAUCGUGGAUCAGAAUGCCACGGUGAAUACGUUCCCGGGCCUUGUACACACCGCCCGUCACACCAUGGGAGUGGGCUGCAAAAGAAGUAGGUAGUUUAACCUUCGGGGGGACGCUUACCACUUUGUGGUUCAUGACUGGGGUGAAGUCGUAACAAGGUAGCGCUAGGGGAACCUGGCGCUGGAUCACCUCCUUA
RNAcentral lists this ribosomal RNA (1552 nucleotides) under Vibrio parahaemolyticus. Its description in RNAcentral is "bacterial SSU rRNA". It matches the Rfam family "Bacterial small subunit ribosomal RNA". Lineage: Bacteria; Pseudomonadati; Pseudomonadota; Gammaproteobacteria; Vibrionales; Vibrionaceae. The record is from RNAcentral.